This 609-nucleotide ribosomal RNA is filed under the name uncultured bacterium. Its description in RNAcentral is "bacterial SSU rRNA". The stretch from base 1 to 519 matches the Rfam family "Bacterial small subunit ribosomal RNA", at positions 338 to 873 of the family's 1533-position model. The record is from RNAcentral.
CCUACGGGAGGCAGCAGUGGGGAAUAUUGGACAAUGGGCGAAAGCCUGAUCCAGCAAUGCCGCGUGAGUGAUGAAGGCCUUAGGGUUGUAAAGCUCUUUUACCAGGGAUGAUAAUGACAGUACCUGGAGAAUAAGCUCCGGCUAACUCCGUGCCAGCAGCCGCGGUAAUACGGAGGGAGCUAGCGUUGUUCGGAAUUACUGGGCGUAAAGCGUACGUAGGCGGUUAUUCAAGUCAGAGGUGAAAGCCUGGAGCUCAACUCCAGAACUGCCUUUGAAACUAGAUAGCUAGAAUCUUGGAGAGGUGAGUGGAAUUCCGAGUGUAGAGGUGAAAUUCGUAGAUAUUCGGAAGAACACCAGUGGCGAAGGCGACUCACUGGACAAGUAUUGACGCUGAGGUACGAAAGCGUGGGGAGCAAACAGGAUUAGAUACCCUGGUAGUCCACGCCGUAAACGAUGAUAACUAGCUGUUCGGGCUCUACGAGCUUGUAGUGGCGCAGCUACGACAUUAAGUUAUCCGCAGUGGGUAGGUACGGUCGGCGAAGAAGUUAAACUAACGAAAGAAGUUAGUACGGCGUGAGACGUGCCGACGGACGACGACGAGGGAGGAGG